UGAUGAAGAAAACAAUCCUGAAGUCAGACAGUGUCAGGAUGGGUGUGCGACUAGGAGUGAGCUGAUUACUGAAAGAUUUACAUAGGCUGUAAGUAAACAACACAAUAAGCAACAAUUGAAUACACAUAUGUAUUUAUUUCAAUUACAGCAAAACAGCUGGGCAGUGCAUGAACAUAAAUGUAUUGGAAGAAAAUAAAAGGGUUGUAUUCAAAGCUUUGCUGUGUGCUACUGGUAAAUACAUCAAGACAGAUAACAAUUUAACUCUCUCUAUACACAAUAUGUAUUAAUCUCACUUAAUAUUUCACCUUAAAACACUAGUCAGAUAUAUCAGCUGGGGUGCUGGCACGGUUAGGAGGAUAACAUAAAGUUGAUGACUGGGGACAAAGUAUUUGGAGAUCUAUUUCCUUGAUUCAUUAAAAGAUGUUGCAAAAGUUCAAAUUUGGAUUUCUCCACGUCAAGCCUUUCUCUCUGUACAACCAAGUGCUCCUCUGAUAUGCUGAGCAUCCUCUUUUGCACAUCUAUCAGCUCCUUGAGGGCAUCUGCUUUGGCUGUCUCAACUUCAAUUAUUGAGGCAAUGUGCUUCGGUGGCUGCUGUUGACUCAUUGAUGAAGCCUCAUCACUGCCAGUGUUCCCACACAUAAAGAUAGGACCUGCAAGUUUGAUGAAAUUAGGUUACAUCAGUACACAUGAUCAGUCAAAGGUGAUGGUGCUGGACCGCCUCCUGUUUUGGACGAUUCUUUGCGGACAUCCAUGGCCUUUCUUUUUACCUGAGAUCAGUAAAUUAAUUAAUCAUGAAGAUGU
Molecule: long non-coding RNA, 801 nt
Organism: Haliotis rufescens (red abalone)
Lineage: Eukaryota; Metazoa; Mollusca; Gastropoda; Lepetellida; Haliotidae
Exons: 3
Source: RefSeq, a predicted model, not a curated record